UGCGCUGGAUGGGCGGUGCGCUGGCUCCGUUCGCGGCGGCGCAACUCGGCGAGCACUUCGGACCCCAGGUUCCGUUCUUUGCCGGCGCGG
This 90-nucleotide transfer RNA is filed under the name compost metagenome. RNAcentral's name for it is "tRNA-Ala". The record is from RNAcentral.